AUGAUGCCUAGAUUAUGCAAUCAAACAAAUUUUGUGCAUAUAUAUAAAAAAUAUAAAAAAGACAUGGUGUUCAAAGGCCACUUUAAACAGACAAUCAGAAUAAUGAAUAAAAUUAAGCUUAACAUUACAUCUGCAUUGUACUUCCAUGCCAAGAAGAGAAGGAAGCCUCACUUUUCCUGGAAUAUACACUUGCCCAUCAAUGGGGGCCUACAACCUGGAGUUCAUCUGCAGAUCUACAACCUUAAGAGAAUGGGUGAAAAUAAUGGCAGAAGACACAUUUUUACAGUGCAACAAUACUUUGUUAACCACUUAAUUUAA
RNAcentral lists this ribosomal RNA (318 nucleotides) under Triticum aestivum (bread wheat). RNAcentral's name for it is "partial small subunit ribosomal RNA". Lineage: Eukaryota; Viridiplantae; Streptophyta; Magnoliopsida; Poales; Poaceae. The record is from RNAcentral.